GUCUGACACGGGGGAUUGGUCCUAGCCCCUAAGGGAGUGCUGGGACAACCCUACCUCCCUUGAAGGCUGCAGUUAUCAAGGCUGUGCUGAAAGUAGGCUGCAGCGUCUGAGCAGAGAGGGUCUUCUAGUUUUCCCUUACCUGAAACUCAAAAAAAGAGGCCAACUUGAUGGCCCCUGCUAGGAGCCCUCCUCUCAGGUUACCCCAGGAGGUGAGGUGUGUCUUGGAAUGUCCUCUCCAUCUCUUGGAUAUAAUAGGUGUUCAGUAAGUGAUUGUUGAGUUAUCUGAAUUGUUCUACUUUUAUACAAAGAAGGCGUGAUGCACAAAUUUUGCAUUUUUGAAAGUGAUUUCUAGUCUUUUUUUCUGGAAAUGUUAUUCUUAGAAUUUUCCUACACCUUUUGGAAAUUCUAGUCCUUUUUUUCCCUGUCCCCUGCCCCCAGCUCUUUCCUCCAUACCUCUCUCCCUCCCUAAAAGUGGUUUACAGCAUAUAUAAUAGUUAUGAACUAAAUUGG
RNAcentral lists this long non-coding RNA (510 nucleotides) under Bos taurus (domestic cattle). RNAcentral describes it as "long non-coding RNA NONBTAT006588". Lineage: Eukaryota; Metazoa; Chordata; Mammalia; Artiodactyla; Bovidae. The record is from RNAcentral.